GGCCGAUAAGAUCAUCAAUAUAAAAACACUAGCCUUAUAGUAAACAAUGGCCUAUUACACAGCUGCACAUUGAAAGGUGGAGGCAACAUGUUCCAGCCGAAAGUUGGUAACCACUGACAAGUUGAUCCUGAAGACCAGAAUCUACAUUUUCAUUUUGUAUAUAACAGGCAUAACACUGCCCGCCGUUGUCUGCAACCGCUAACAGAAGUUUAGCGUAAAGAAAUAUUUUCUGCAACUCCCAUUGUACUGUGAAUGGUAAACAUCAUGCAAGACAUAUAUCUGAUCAGUCACUAUAUACAAAUUUGAGUUAGUGUUUCAAAAAAUUAUUAUUUUGGGAUCAUAUGUUUCCGGA
Non-coding RNA from Zootermopsis nevadensis, 352 nucleotides. Lineage: Eukaryota; Metazoa; Arthropoda; Insecta; Blattodea; Termopsidae. The record is from RefSeq and is a predicted model, not a curated record.